UGAAUGUUUGUUACGAAAUUUGACAUGGACUUUAUCCCUAUCUAAUGUAUCCCUCACUAAAACCCUCAUAAAAUUCAUUAGCCAAAACUGAAUUAUUUCCCCCUCAUUUAUUUUCCCAUUUUCGUUUUUCCCUCCUCUCAUACCAAAAUAUUCCCCCUCUUUUUUUGACUCACAAACCCCAAAAUAAUUAUCCCACAAAUUCAUACUCACAAACUCAAGAUGAACUCAAUAUUCACAAACCCAAAACUCAUCUUCAAAACUUUCCAGUUCCAAACACUCAAGAUGAACCCAAACCUUAAAAUAAACUUAACCCAAAAUUUUCCCCAAACACUCAAUCACUCUCUCAGAUGAACAAAACUUCCCAAGCUUCUCGAUCACUAUUGGAAUCGCAAACUUCACAGUCGGAAUCGCAAGCUUCUCAAUCACUCUUUCCUCUCACUGAAUCGCUCUUUCCUCUCUUAUCUUCUCAGUUGGAAUUACUCUUUUAUUCUCAGUUGGAAUCACUUAAUCGCUCUUCUCAGUCCAAAAUCUCACGGUCAGAUUUUUGCUCUGUCAGAUUUUUACUAAUUCAUGUGUUUAAUUUGUAGAUUCUUCUGAAUUUGAAGCUGAAUUUCUCCUCUGGGUGCUCAUACUCUCACAACAAAGAUUUUCACUGAAUCUCACUCCCAAAAUCGAAUCUUCUUCCUUCUCCCUAAAUUCUUUCUCAAAUCUUUAGUGAAUCUAAGAAUCACGCCCUCUUUGCUUGGUGGUUUCUUAGUUAAAGACAAAUUAAUCGUAAAUGAUUAAGAUCUAGCUGUUAGUCAUUGUUGCUGCUGCAGUAGGUGUGUGUAUUGCUGCUUGCAUUUUUAGCUGCAGUGUUGCGUGGAAGAAGUCUGCGUUUUUGCAGCUGCUGCUGCUAUUAUUUGGUGUGCGCAUCAGCUGCUGAUGUGUUUGGUUUAUGCUGAUUGCGGCUCUGUUCUUCUGUGUGGGGUGGCAGCCUUGAUUUUCUAUUGUUUUUUCUUGCUGGUUGGGUUUUUUUUUCUCGGUGCAUAGGUUGUGAGGCAGGGAUAUUGUAACGCCCUCUUUGAAUUAUUUAAUUAUUUAAUUGAGUAUAGAAUUUAUUAA
Long non-coding RNA from Medicago truncatula (barrel medic), 1104 nucleotides. RefSeq lists it as uncharacterized. Lineage: Eukaryota; Viridiplantae; Streptophyta; Magnoliopsida; Fabales; Fabaceae. The record is from RefSeq and is a predicted model, not a curated record. The transcript is spliced from 2 exons.